AGGUAGAAAUUAAUAUGUUUAUAAUACACAGAAUGAAAAUAAAGAUUCAACAGGACAGGUCAGGAUUUUUGCCUGGAGUGACAGGCAAGUUGACAUUUAAACUGGGCUUUGAAAAAUCAAUUGUUUUUGUAAACGUAGAGAAGAUUAAGCGAUACAUAAAGUAGAGUGAAUGGAACAAGUAAAGUAAAUGAGGUGGGAAUAUUGGGUCAAGUAGUAUUGAGAAUAGCAAGUACUUUUCUUAAGCAAAAACUUAUGAAUAUGAAAUGAACUACUAGGGAGUAAUGUUUGAGAAGUACAUUAGGAUCAAGAAAUGGAAAGCUCUGGAGUAAGUGAAGACUUUACUUUUUACAGUGAUCUGGUCAGAGUUUUGCUUCAGGUGGAUUAAAAUGACAUGAAUUUGAAAUACGAAUUGGAAAAAUUUACAACAGAGGAUUGCUAUAAUUUUCCCAUGAUAAUCUCAGUGACUACCAACUAGCAAGUUGCCUUUGAGCUGGGACAAUGGUCUUCUCCUGCCUUCAGACUCAGAUUGGAACUUACACCAUCAGCUCUUAUGGUUCUCAGGCCUUUGGACUCAGACUGAAACUAUACCAUCCACCCUCCUUGGUCUCUAGCUUGCCAACUGCAGAUCUUGGGACUUGCCAGCCUCUCCAUAAUUGUAACUACAACUAAUUGGACAUUCAUUGAUCAACAAAGGAUAUCAACACAGCACCUCAGGACACCUGAGAGACGCACGGCCAUACAUUGCCAGGUGGAUGGACUUCCCCCAGGGAAGGAGGUGGAGAUAGGUGAAAACACUCCAGCCCCCAGACAGCCUAGUACCUGCAAGUAACUAUCUCCUAGCUGACAUGCUCAUAGCACCACCAUGGCACUGAGGCAAAGCUGACUGGAGUGAUUCAUCAGCUCUGGGAAAAUCAGGAUAAAUCUAAGAAAGCAAGGAACAUCAGCAGAGUGAGAAAUACCACCAGGAAUUUCCAUAUUCCAGGAUAUUAUACUGAGUUCUACGUUGAUGAUCUAAAAACGAUGGGAGUGCCACACCUUCAGCUGGGAUGAGUGGGCCCUGACAUGGCAAUUAAUAAAACAACAAGAAAAGAACCCAGGUUACACAGCGUGGAUUACACUGAGCUGCAGCUGAGGUCUUGCGCUUCCACAGUUCAUUCAUUCGUUCUUUUAUGCAUUCAUUUAACCAUUCUUUAUUGACAAUCUAUUUUGUAUUUGGCACUGUUCUAGGCACUGAAGAAAUGGCAGUAAGAAAAUCAGACAAAAAUGUCUAGUUUACAGAAUUUACAUUAUAACAGUGAGAAACAGAUAUUAAAAACAAAUGAAUUCCAAAUAAGUUUACAGCUUAUUAGAAUAUCAUCAAUGGUAUAGAAAAAAAUAAAGGAGAGAAGAGAGAGCAGCCCUUGGGGGAGAGGGGUUCCAGCUUUUAAUAGAGUGGUCAUGGAGGUCCUCUGUGAGAAGAUGACAAGUGAGCAAAUACUAGAAGGGAGUGAGGGAGUGAGUCAUGUGACAGCAGAAGGUGAGAUUCCAGGCAGCAGAACCAGCAGAUGCAAAGGCAAGUGUGAGAAACAGCCAGCUAGACAGGGCCACUUACAUGGUGUGAGCUGGGUGGAGGUUCAUAGGUGUCGAAAUAAAAGAGAAAUUGGGUUGGAGGUGGAGGUGGUUGCAUAGGGACUUAUACCAUUGUAAGUAUUCUGGCUUGGCAUAGAAUGAGAAGUGAAGCCACGGAGUGUUUUGCACAGAAAAGAGACUUAACCCAACUCGUAUUUUAAUUGGCAUAUUCUGACUAUGGCCUUGAGAAUAGACCACAGGAGGAGCAAGGGUAGAAGCAAGGAGAUGCAUUAGGAAGUUAUGUCACCAGUUUAGAGAAAAGAGGAUGACUGGUAGAAGAAGAGGUUAUAAAAAUAAGUUGAAAUUUGGAUAUCCAUAGAGAGUAGAGCCAAUACGAUUUUCUGACUGAAUGGAUGAGGGUGUGAAAGAGAGGAGGUAAGCCAGAAGUUUGUCUUUGGAAAUCUAAAUUUUGAAAUGUCCAUUAGACAUCCAAAUGGACAUAGGAUGUUUGGAGUUUAGUGAAGCGCCCUUGACUGGAGGUAAAACACAAGACCUUGUCAACAUAAAGAUAGCAUUUAAAGAUGUCACAAGGUUGUGGGAUAAAGAGAAGAGGAAGUUGAAAAACAGAGCCUAAGAGCACUCCAAAUUUAAUAAGUGAGGGAGGUCAGAAGGAACCAGAAAAAUAAAUUAAAAAUGAGGGUCAGUGAGGUAGGAUGGGGUCCUGAAUGUUAAGUACAGAAGUUUCAAGGAACAAGGAGUGUCAAGUGCUAUGUCAAAUGCUGCAAACAGGUAAGAUGAGGGCUGAGAACUCACCGCUGGAUUUAGCCACGUGGCAGUUAUUGUUCGCCAGGACAAGAGUGGUUUCUGUGCAGUGCAGAGAGUAAAAGCCUCCUGGGUUCCAGGGAGAAUGAGAGGAGAGGUGUUGGGGAGAGUGAGUAUAGAAAAUGUUGUAAGGGAGUUUGCAGU
Molecule: long non-coding RNA, 2514 nt
Organism: Equus caballus (horse)
Lineage: Eukaryota; Metazoa; Chordata; Mammalia; Perissodactyla; Equidae
Source: Ensembl